CCUACGGGAGGCAGCAGUGAGGAAUAUUGGUCAAUGGACGAGAGUCUGAACCAGCCAAGUAGCGUGAAGGAUGACUGCCCUAUGGGUUGUAAACUUCUUUUAUAUGGGAAUAAAAUGUUCCACGUGUGGGAUUUUGUAUGUACCAUAUGAAUAAGGAUCGGCUAACUCCGUGCCAGCAGCCGCGGUAAUACGGAGGAUCCGAGCGUUAUCCGGAUUUAUUGGGUUUAAAGGGAGCGUAGGUGGAUUGUUAAGUCAGUUGUGAAAGUUUGCGGCUCAACCGUAAAAUUGCAGUUGAAACUGGCAGUCUUGAGUACAGUAGAGGUGGGCGGAAUUCGUGGUGUAGCGGUGAAAGGCUUAGAUAUCACGAAGAACUCCGAUUGCGAAGGCAGCUCACUGGACUGCAACUGACACUGAGGCUCGAAAGUGUGGGUAUCAAACAGGAUUAGAUACCCUAGUAGUC
This 460-nucleotide ribosomal RNA is filed under the name uncultured bacterium. RNAcentral's name for it is "partial 16S ribosomal RNA". It matches the Rfam family "Bacterial small subunit ribosomal RNA", at positions 338 to 795 of the family's 1533-position model. The record is from RNAcentral.